GUCGUUGCAAAAGAAAUCCUGCUCAGUACGAGAGGAACCGCAGGUUCGGACAAAUGGUACAUGUGCCUGCUCGACCGAGCAAUGGCACGACGCUAUCGUCCGAGGGAUUAUGACUGAACGCCUCUAAGUCAGAAUCCCGUCAUUAUACGGUAACGAU
RNAcentral lists this non-coding RNA (157 nucleotides) under Tetranychus urticae (two-spotted spider mite). Its description in RNAcentral is "Eukaryotic large subunit ribosomal RNA". It matches the Rfam family "Eukaryotic large subunit ribosomal RNA", at positions 3007 to 3161 of the family's 3401-position model. Lineage: Eukaryota; Metazoa; Arthropoda; Arachnida; Trombidiformes; Tetranychidae. The record is from Rfam by way of RNAcentral.